RNAcentral lists this ribosomal RNA (423 nucleotides) under uncultured bacterium. RNAcentral describes it as "bacterial SSU rRNA". It matches the Rfam family "Bacterial small subunit ribosomal RNA", at positions 917 to 1350 of the family's 1533-position model. The record is from RNAcentral.
GGACCCGCACAAGCGGUGGAGCAUGUGGUUUAAUUCGAUGCAACGCGAAGAACCUUACCAAGAAUUGACAUGCUGCGAACGUUUACGAAAGUAAAAGUCUAUUAACUUAGUUAAUAGCGCAGACACAGGUGGUGCAUGGUUGUCGUCAGCUCGUGCCGUGAGGUGUUAGGUUAAGUCCUGCAACGAGCGCAACCCUUGUCUUUAGUUAUAUUCUAGAGAGACUGCCGGUGAUAAACCGGAGGAAGGUGAGGAUGACGUCAAAUCAGCAUGCCCCUUACAUCUUGGGCGACUCACGUGCUACAAUGGUCGGGACAAAGAGAUGCUACCCUGCGAAGGCAAGCUAACCUCAAAAACCCGAUCUCAGUUCGGAUUGCAGGCUGCAACUCGCCUACGUGAAGGCGGAAUCGCUAGUAAUCGCAGGUC